Molecule: long non-coding RNA, 347 nt
Filed under: Trifolium pratense (red clover)
Lineage: Eukaryota; Viridiplantae; Streptophyta; Magnoliopsida; Fabales; Fabaceae
Description: long non-coding RNA (TPRA_LNC014431)
Source: RNAcentral
AUUAUAUCUUUCUUGUGUGAUUUGUUUAUGGUUUUGUUUCUCUGACUCUUUGUAAACUUUUGUAGUCUACCUCGGUACGUCUUGUGUUGGGGAGGUUUUCUAUGUUAAUAUAUCUCAUUUUGCUUUGUUACAAAAAAUAUUAGUCCUUAUAUCAAAAACAAAAAAAUCUUUAAAAAAAAAAACUUCUAAAAAAUGUCAUUUAUUUUUCAACUAUUUUCAACUUUGUAUUUAAUUUUUACUGUUUUUUUUUAAACUAAAUGUAUUAUUCACGCGCAACUGUAGAGAAUAAUCCUCUUGAGGUAACUGAUAAUUUUUAUUGUUUUUGUCUCACCAUUUUUUUACGGGAG